UGGGGAAUUGUUCACAAUGGGCGCAAGCCUGAUGACGCAACGCCGCGUGGAGGAUGAAGGUCUUCGGAUUGUAAACUCCUGUUGCCAGGGACGAAUAGCUCCGACCUAAUACGUCGGAGUGUGACGGUACCUGGUGAGGAAGCCCCGGCUAACUCUGUGCCAGCAGCCGCGGUAAUACAGAGGGGGCAAGCGUUGUUCGGAAUUACUGGGCGUAAAGGGCGCGUAGGCGGCCCGCUAAGUCGAACGUGAAAUCCCCAGGCUCAACCUGGGAACUGCGUCCGAUACUGGCAGGCUUGAAUCCGGGAGAGGGAUGUGGAAUUCCAGGUGUAGCGGUGAAAUGCGUAGAUAUCUGGAGGAACACCGGUGGCGAAGGCGGCAUCCUGGACCGGUAUUGACGCUGAGGCGCGAAAGCUAGGGGAGCAAACGG
RNAcentral lists this ribosomal RNA (427 nucleotides) under uncultured bacterium. RNAcentral's name for it is "bacterial SSU rRNA". It matches the Rfam family "Bacterial small subunit ribosomal RNA", at positions 355 to 775 of the family's 1533-position model. The record is from RNAcentral.